AGUGAACGCUGGCGGUAGGCCUAACACAUGCAAGUCGAACGGCAGCACAGUAAGAGCUUGCUCUUACGGGUGGCGCGUGGCGGACGGGUGAGGAAUACAUCGGAAUCUACUUUUUCGUGGGGGAUAACGUAGGGAAACUUACGCUAAUACCGCAUACGACCUACGGGGGAAAGCAGGGGAUCGUCGGACCUUGCGCGAGUGAAUGAGCCGACGUCGGAUUAGCUAGUUGGCGGGGUAAAGGGCCACCAAGGCGACGAUCCGUAGCUGGUCUGAGAGGAUGAUCAGCCACACUGGACGUGAGACACGGUCCAGACUCCUACGGGAGGCAGCAGUGGGGAAUCUUGGACAAUGGGCGCAAGCCUGAUCCAGCCAUACCGCGUGGGUGAAGAAGGCCUUCGGGUUGUAAAGCCCUUUUGUUGGGAAAGAAAAGCAGCAGGUUAAUCCCCCGCUGUUCUGACGGUACCCAAAGAAUAAGCACCGGCUAACUUCGUG
Molecule: ribosomal RNA, 492 nt
Filed under: uncultured bacterium
Lineage: Bacteria
Description: partial 16S ribosomal RNA
Rfam family: Bacterial small subunit ribosomal RNA
Source: RNAcentral